This 339-nucleotide unclassified non-coding RNA is filed under the name soil metagenome. RNAcentral's name for it is "partial contains 5.8S ribosomal RNA, internal transcribed spacer 2, and large subunit ribosomal RNA". The stretch from base 1 to 120 matches the Rfam family "5.8S ribosomal RNA", at positions 35 to 154 of the family's 154-position model. The record is from RNAcentral.
GAUGAAGAACGUAGCGAAAUGCGAUAAGUAGUGUGAAUUGCAGAAUUCAGUGAAUCAUCGAAUCUUUGAACGCACAUUGCGCCCCUUGGUAUUCCAUGGGGCAUGCCUGUUCGAGCGUCAUUUGUACCUUCAAGCUCUGCUUGGUGUUGGGUGUUUGUCUCGCCUCUGCGUGUAGACUCGCCUCAAAACAAUUGGCAGCCGGCGUAUUGAUUUCGGAGCGCAGCACAUUUUGCGAUCCAGAUCAACGUACAGCGGCAUCCAAGAAGCCUUAUUUAACGCUCUUGACCUCGGAUCAGGUAGGGAUACCCGCUGAACUUAAGCAUAUCAAUAAGCGGAGGA